RNAcentral lists this ribosomal RNA (490 nucleotides) under uncultured bacterium. RNAcentral's name for it is "partial 16S ribosomal RNA". It matches the Rfam family "Bacterial small subunit ribosomal RNA", at positions 30 to 507 of the family's 1533-position model. The record is from RNAcentral.
AUUGAACGCUGGCGGCAGGCCUAACACAUGCAAGUCGAACGGUAACAGGAAGCAGCUUGCUGCUUCGCUGACGAGUGGCGGACGGGUGAGUAAUGUCUGGGAAACUGCCUGAUGGAGGGGGAUAACUACUGGAAACGGUAGCUAAUACCGCAUAACGUCGCAAGUCCAAAGUGGGGGACCUUAGGGCCUCUUGCCAUCGGCUGUGCCCAUAUGGGGUUAGAUAGUAGGUGGGGUAACGGCUCACCUAGGCGACGAUCCCUAGCUGGUCUGAGAGGAUGACCAAGCACACCGGGACUUGAGCACCGUCCAGACUCCCACGGGAGGGAGGAGGGGGGAAGAGUGGCCAAAGGGCGGAAGCCUGAUGCAGCCAUGCCGCGUGUAUGAAGAAGGCCUUCGGGUUGUAAAGUACUUUCAGCGGGGAGGAAGGGAGUAAAGUUAAUACCUUUGCUCAUUGACGUUACCCGCAGAAGAAGCACCGGCUAACUCCGUG